AUGAACGCUGGCGGCGUGCCUAAUACAUGCCAGUCGAGCGAACAGACGAGGAGCUUGCUCCUCUGACGUUAGCGGCGGACGGGUGAGUAACACGUGGAUAACCUACCUAUAAGACUGGGAUAACUUCGGGAAACCGGAGCUAAUACCGGAUAAUAUAUUGAACCGCAUGGUUCAAUAGUGAAAGACGGUUUUGCUGUCACUUAUAGAUGGAUCCGCGCCGCAUUAGCUAGUUGGUAAGGUAACGGCUUACCAAGGCAACGAUGCGUAGCCGACCUGAGAGGGUGAUCGGCCACACUGGAACUGAGACACGGUCCAGACUCCUACGGGAGGCAGCAGUAGGGAAUCUUCCGCAAUGGGCGAAAGCCUGACGGAGCAACGCCGCGUGAGUGAUGAAGGUCUUCGGAUCGUAAAACUCUGUUAUUAGGGAAGAACAAAUGUGUAAGUAACUAUGCACGUCUUGACGGAACCUAAUCAGAAAGCCACGGCUAACUACGUG
Molecule: ribosomal RNA, 496 nt
Filed under: uncultured bacterium
Lineage: Bacteria
Description: partial 16S ribosomal RNA
Rfam family: Bacterial small subunit ribosomal RNA
Source: RNAcentral